GCCGAAGUAGCUCAGUUGGUAGAGCAGCUGAUUCGUAAUCAGCAGGUCGUCGGUUCGAGUCCGACUUUCGGCUCCA
This 76-nucleotide transfer RNA is filed under the name Occallatibacter sp. Its description in RNAcentral is "tRNA-Thr". It matches the Rfam family "tRNA". Rfam says of the family: Transfer RNA (tRNA) molecules are approximately 80 nucleotides in length. Their secondary structure includes four short double-helical elements and three loops (D, anti-codon, and T loops). RNAcentral also lists the same sequence under 2 other names. The record is from RNAcentral. Lineage: Bacteria; Pseudomonadati; Acidobacteriota; Terriglobia; Terriglobales; Acidobacteriaceae.